RNAcentral lists this ribosomal RNA (466 nucleotides) under uncultured bacterium. RNAcentral describes it as "bacterial SSU rRNA". It matches the Rfam family "Bacterial small subunit ribosomal RNA", at positions 331 to 792 of the family's 1533-position model. The record is from RNAcentral.
CCAGACUCCUACGGGAGGCAGCAGUGAGGAAUAUUGGUCAAUGGGCGCAAGCCUGAACCAGCCAAGUCGCGUGAGGGAAGACGGUGCUAUGGAUUGUAAACCUCUUUUGUCGGGGAGCAAAGCGCGGUACGAGUACCGCGAAGGAGAGCACCCGAAGAAAAAGCAUCGGCUAACUCCGUGCCAGCAGCCGCGGUAAUACGGGGGAUGCAAGCGUUAUCCGGAUUUAUUGGGUUUAAAGGGUGCGUAGGCUGUGAGGUAAGUCAGCGGUGAAAUGCCCCCGCUCAACGGGGUGAAGUGCCAUUGAUACUGCCUUGCUGGAAUGCGGAUGCCGUGGGAGGAAUGUGUGGUGUAGCGGUGAAAUGCAUAGAUAUCACACAGAACACCGAUUGCGAAGGCAUCUCACGAAUCCGCGAUUGACGCUGAUGCACGAAAGCGUGGGUAUCAAACAGGAUUAGAUACCCCAGUA